GAGUGGCGAACUGGUGAGUAACACGUGGGAAACCUGCCCAGAAGCGGGGGAUAACACCUGGAAACAGAUGCUAAUACCGCAUAACAACUUGGACCGCAUGGUCCGAGCUUGAAAGAUGGCUUCGGCUAUCACUUUUGGAUGGUCCCGCGGCGUAUUAGCUAGAUGGUGGGGUAACGGCUCACCAUGGCAAUGAUACGUAGCCGACCUGAGAGGGUAAUCGGCCACAUUGGGACUGAGACACGGCCCAAACUCCUACGGGAGGCAGCAGUAGGGAAUCUUCCACAAUGGACGAAAGUCUGAUGGAGCAACGCCGCGUGAGUGAAGAAGGKUUUCGGCUCGUAAAACUCUGUUGUUAAAGAAGAACAUAUCUGAGAGUAACUGUUCAGGUAUUGACGGUAUUUAACCAGAAAGCCACGGCUAACUACGUGCCAGCAGCCGCGGUAAUACGUAGGUGGCAAGCGUUGUCCGGAUUUAUUGGGCGUAAAGCGAGCGCAGGCGGUUUUUUAAGUCUGAUGUGAAAGCCUUCGGCUCAACCGAAGAAGUGCAUCGGAAACUGGGAAACUUGAGUGCAGAAGAGGACAGUGGAACUCCAUGUGUAGCGGUGAAAUGCGUAGAUAUAUGGAAGAACACCAGUGGCGAAGGCGGCUGUCUGG
RNAcentral lists this ribosomal RNA (653 nucleotides) under Lactiplantibacillus pentosus. RNAcentral describes it as "bacterial SSU rRNA". It matches the Rfam family "Bacterial small subunit ribosomal RNA", at positions 93 to 732 of the family's 1533-position model. The record is from RNAcentral. Lineage: Bacteria; Bacillati; Bacillota; Bacilli; Lactobacillales; Lactobacillaceae.